AAACUUGUCUCACCACUCAGUUGUCUCCUUUCUGACUCAUGGAGCCAGCCUCUCGGGGUGUGUGACUGCUUAAAGCACAAAAAGCAAAAGUCAAAUAGCCUUGAUUUCUGGGAGUCAGUGCCUUGGACUCCUUUCUCUCAGGACAGGGACUAAUUCGACAGUUCGGCUCUAAGUACCUAGGAAGGAAAUGCCACUGAACUGACAGUUACUAAAUGGCUGUCAGGACAAGGUUUCUGGCAGACAUGACAACCUCAACAGAAGGGGGUGAUACUGUAAGGACAGAAGUCAGAAUGUGGGAAGGUCCCCUGAGGCCAGCACAGAGGAAGAUGCAAUGCUGGGACUAGCUCUGGAGCCCUCACUGGCUCUACAGAGUUAAUCCAGAGUGUGCUGAGUCUAGUUGAUACGGACAGUGCUUGCUUGGUACUCCAGAGAAUUUCCAUGUCUCUCUUCAGUUGGUACAAAGUAAAACAAAACUUAAAAAAAAAAAUUGUCCCAACCCCCACCAGGCAUGGUAGCACUACUGUAAUCACCAGCAUUUAGAAACCAGAGCCAGGUGACCUAGGCCAGCACGCUAUCUCAAAAGAACACAGUGCAGAAGCUGCAUGUGAAGCAUCUAGAAGAAGGUCCCUGCAACCAUUCACACUGACCAUUUUAGUCUCUCAUGCAGCCCAGGCUGGAGGUUUCGAACUCUGUUCCUCCUGUCUCACCCUCCAGUGUAACCAAUACUUCUUGUGUGCUAGACAACACUCCACUCGCUGAGCCAUAUCACUAGCCAUCUGGCAGUUGUCGUUGUGUGUCUUGUUUGUUUGCUUUGUGUGUUUUUGUGUGUAUGUGGUUUUUUUUUUUUAUCAUGAGGAUGUCAUUUCCAAUGUACAAAUGUUGACAUUUAAAAUAAAAUGGGUGUCUAG
This 908-nucleotide long non-coding RNA is filed under the name Mus musculus (house mouse). Its description in RNAcentral is "long non-coding RNA chr4:150553491-150554399". Lineage: Eukaryota; Metazoa; Chordata; Mammalia; Rodentia; Muridae. The record is from RNAcentral.